RNAcentral lists this ribosomal RNA (561 nucleotides) under Pseudomonas sp. RNAcentral describes it as "bacterial SSU rRNA". It matches the Rfam family "Bacterial small subunit ribosomal RNA", at positions 112 to 669 of the family's 1533-position model. Lineage: Bacteria; Pseudomonadati; Pseudomonadota; Gammaproteobacteria; Pseudomonadales; Pseudomonadaceae. The record is from RNAcentral.
AAUGCCUAGGAAUCUGCCUGGUAGUGGGGGAUAACGUUCGGAAACGGACGCUAAUACCGCAUACGUCCUACGGGAGAAAGCAGGGGACCUUCGGGCCUUGCGCUAUCAGAUGAGCCUAGGUCGGAUUAGCUAGUUGGUGGGGUAAUGGCUCACCAAGGCGACGAUCCGUAACUGGUCUGAGAGGAUGAUCAGUCACACUGGAACUGAGACACGGUCCAGACUCCUACGGGAGGCAGCAGUGGGGAAUAUUGGACAAUGGGCGAAAGCCUGAUCCAGCCAUGCCGCGUGUGUGAAGAAGGUCUUCGGAUUGUAAAGCACUUUAAGUUGGGAGGAAGGGUUGUAGAUUAAUACUCUGCAAUUUUGACGUUACCGACAGAAUAAGCACCGGCUAACUCUGUGCCAGCAGCCGCGGUAAUACAGAGGGUGCAAGCGUUAAUCGGAAUUACUGGGCGUAAAGCGCGCGUAGGUGGUUAGUUAAGUUGGAUGUGAAAUCCCCGGGCUCAACCUGGGAACUGCAUUCAAAACUGACUGACUAGAGUAUGGUAGAGGGUGGUGGAAUUU